AUAUCAAUAAGCGGAGGAAAAGAAACCAACAGGGAUUGCCUCAGUAACGGCGAGUGAAGCGGCAACAGCUCAAAUUUGAAAUCUGGCCCCCCCCCGCGGGGGCCCGAGUUGUAAUUUGGAGAGGAUGCUUUGGGCGCGGCGCCUUCCGAGUUCCUUGGAACAGGACGCCAGAGAGGGUGAGAGCCCCGUACGGUCGGACGCCUAGCCCGUGUAAAGCUCCUUCGACGAGUCGAGUAGUUUGGGAAUGCUGCUCAAAAUGGGAGGUAAAUUUCUUCUAAAGCUAAAUACUGGCCAGAGACCGAUAGCGCACAAGUAGAGUGAUCGAAAGGUGAAAAGCACUUUGAAAAGAGAGUCAAACAGCACGUGAAAUUGUUGAAAGGGAAGCGCCUGCGACCAGACGCGCCGCCCGUGGCACACCCGGCGCCCCCGCGCCGGGGCACGCUGCGGGCGGCGGGCCAGCAUCGGCUCUGCCUGGAGGACAAGGGCCGCGGGAACGUAGCUCCCCCCCGUGGGGAGUGUUAUAGCCCGCGGCGCGAUGCUCCAGGCGGGGCCGAGGACCGCGCUCGCAAGAGCAAGGAUGCUGGCGUAAUGGCCGCCGGCGACCCGUCUUGAAACACGGACCAAGGAGUCAAGCAGUGGGGCGAGUGUACGGGUGCCAAACCCGCGCGCGAAAUGAAAGUAAACGCAGGUGGGAGCCUCCGGGCGCACCACCGACCGAUCCUGAUGUUCUCGGAUGGAUUUGAGUAGGAGCCCUACUGCUUGGACCCGAAAGAUGGUGAACUAUGCCUGUAUAGGGUGAAGCCAGAGGAAACUCUGGUGGAGGCUCGCAGCGGUUCUGACGUGCAAAUCGAUCGUCAAAUAUGGGCAUGGGGGCGAAAGACUAAUCGAACCAUCUAGUAGCUGGUUACCGC
This 911-nucleotide ribosomal RNA is filed under the name Raffaelea sp. RNAcentral describes it as "partial large subunit ribosomal RNA". It matches the Rfam family "Eukaryotic large subunit ribosomal RNA", at positions 40 to 961 of the family's 3401-position model. Lineage: Eukaryota; Fungi; Ascomycota; Sordariomycetes; Ophiostomatales; Ophiostomataceae. The record is from RNAcentral.